This 113-nucleotide small nucleolar RNA is filed under the name Dasypus novemcinctus (nine-banded armadillo). RNAcentral's name for it is "Small nucleolar RNA SNORA70 (ENSDNOG00000038238.1)". It matches the Rfam family "Small nucleolar RNA SNORA70", at positions 22 to 135 of the family's 135-position model. From Rfam's summary of the family: snoRNA U70 seems to be exclusive to mammals and is a member of the H/ACA class of snoRNA which contain H (ANANNA) and ACA box motifs. H/ACA box snoRNAs are involved in the conversion of uridines to pseudouridines (5-ribosyluracil) a constituent of structural RNAs (transfer, ribosomal, small nuclear, and small nucleolar). The record is from RNAcentral. Lineage: Eukaryota; Metazoa; Chordata; Mammalia; Cingulata; Dasypodidae.
AUACAUUUCAAGUACUAGGGCCUGGUGUGCAGUGGCUGCGGACAGCAACCUUUCUUGGUAGUGUACGCAGCCUGUUGCUUGUAUGGGUUGCCUUAAGAGACUUAGAGACAGCC